RNAcentral lists this ribosomal RNA (407 nucleotides) under uncultured bacterium. RNAcentral describes it as "partial 16S ribosomal RNA". It matches the Rfam family "Bacterial small subunit ribosomal RNA", at positions 29 to 526 of the family's 1533-position model. The record is from RNAcentral.
AUCGAACGCUGGCGGCAGGCCUAACACAUGCAAGUCGAGCGGAGCGGCGGACGGGGGAGUAAUGCCUAGGGAGCUGCCUGGUAGUGGGCGAUAACGUCCGGAAACGGGCGCUAAUACCGCAUACUAGCAGAUGAGCUUAGGUUGGAUUAGCUAGUUGGUGGGGUAAAGGCCUACCAAGGCGACGAUCAGUAGCCGGUCUGAGAGGAUGAACGGCCAAAUUGGGACUUGGGAACGGCCCAGAAUCCUACGGGGGGGAACAGGGGGGAAUCUUCCGCAAUGGGCGGAAGUCUGGCGGAGCAACGCCGCGUGGGUGAUGACGGCCUUCGGGUUGUAAAGCUCGUUAAUCGGGGAGGCGGUACCGGAAUAGAAAGCCACGGCUAACUACGUGCCAGCAGCCGCGGUAAUAC